RNAcentral lists this ribosomal RNA (622 nucleotides) under uncultured bacterium. RNAcentral's name for it is "bacterial SSU rRNA". It matches the Rfam family "Bacterial small subunit ribosomal RNA", at positions 28 to 646 of the family's 1533-position model. The record is from RNAcentral.
AUUGAACGCUAGCGGGAUGCCUUACACAUGCAAGUCGAACGGCAGCACGGACUUCGGUCUGGUGGCGAGUGGCGAACGGGUGAGUAAUGUAUCGGAACGUGCCUAGUAGCGGGGGAUAACUACGCGAAAGCGUAGCUAAUACCGCAUACGCCCUACGGGGGAAAGCAGGGGAUCGCAAGACCUUGCACUAUUAGAGCGGCCGAUAUCGGAUUAGCUAGUUGGUGGGGUAACGGCUCACCAAGGCGACGAUCCGUAGCUGGUUUGAGAGGACGACCAGCCACACUGGGACUGAGACACGGCUCAGACUCCUACGGGAGGCAGCAGUGGGGAAUUUUGGACAAUGGGGGAAACCCUGAUCCAGCCAUCCCGCGUGUGCGAUGAAGGCCUUCGGGUUGUAAAGCACUUUUGGCAGGAAAGAAACGUCAUGGGUUAAUACCCCGUGAAACUGACGGUACCUGCAGAAUAAGCACCGGCUAACUACGUGCCAGCAGCCGCGGUAAUACGUAGGGUGCAAGCGUUAAUCGGAAUUACUGGGCGUAAAGCGUGCGCAGGCGGUUCGGNNGAAAGAUGUGAAAUCCCAGAGCUUAACUUUGGAACUGCAUUUUUAACUACCGAGCUAGAG